This 442-nucleotide ribosomal RNA is filed under the name uncultured bacterium. Its description in RNAcentral is "bacterial SSU rRNA". It matches the Rfam family "Bacterial small subunit ribosomal RNA", at positions 339 to 796 of the family's 1533-position model. The record is from RNAcentral.
CUACGGGAGGCAGCAGUCGAGGAUCUUCGGCAAUGAGCGCAAGCUUGACCGAGCGACGCCGCGUGCGGGAUGAAGGCCUUCGGGUUGUAAACCGCUUUGGUGGGGGAGGAAAUUUCUGACCUAUCCCAAGAACAAGCACGGGCUAAGUUCGUGCCAGCAGCCGCGGUAAGACGAACCGUGCGAACGUUGUUCGGAAUCACUGGGCUUAAAGGGCGCGUAGGCGGUCUGUCAAGUCUGGGGUGAAAUCUUUCGGCUUAACCGGAAAAUGGCCUUAGAUACUGAUGGGCUAGAGGGAGAUAGAGGUGGCUGGAACUACCAGUGGAGCGGUGAAAUGCGUUGAUAUUGGUAGGAACGCCAGAGGCGAAGGCGAGCCGCUGGAUCUCUUCUGACGCUGAUGCGCGAAAGCUAGGGGAGCGAACGGGAUUAGAAACCCCAGUAGUCC